GACGAACGCUGGCGGCGUGCUUAACACAUGCAAGUCGAACGGAAAGGCCCCUUUGGGGGUACUCGAGUGGCGAACGGGUGAGUAACACGUGAGUAACCUGCCCUUGACUUCGGGAUAACUUAAGGAAACUGGGGCUAAUACCGGAUAGGAAUCCUUGCUGCAUGGUGGGGGUUGGAAAGCUUCGGCGGUUUUGGAUGGACUCGCGGCUUAUCAGCUUGUUGGUGGGGUAGUGGCUUACCAAGGCUUUGACGGGUAGCCGGGCUGAGAGGGCGACCGGCCACAUUGAAACUGAGAUACCGCCCACACGCCUCCAUGAGACAGCAGGAGAGAAUAUUACACAAUGGGCGGAAGCCUGAUGCAGCAACCCCGCUUGCGGGAUGACGGCCUUCGGGUUGUAAACCUCUUUCAGCAGGGGCGAAUCUUGUUGUAACGGUACCUGCAUAAGAAGCACCGGCUAACUACGUG
RNAcentral lists this ribosomal RNA (465 nucleotides) under uncultured bacterium. RNAcentral's name for it is "partial 16S ribosomal RNA". It matches the Rfam family "Bacterial small subunit ribosomal RNA", at positions 28 to 507 of the family's 1533-position model. The record is from RNAcentral.